UCAAAGAUUUUGAUUGAUGAAGAAAUAACCGACAUUCAGAAGUACAAGGAGAGGUAUGAUGACAUUGCUUUAUCUAUGAGUAUUUACCUUGCUUUUUUAUUAUAAAAUACUGAUUUCUUACUUACAAUAAUUGAAUGUACAUUAUUUUGGGCAGUUUUUCAACUAUGUUUCUAUCCUGUGACACAUUGAGCCAUGGUAACAGUCAACUCUGACAAUAUUCUUAUUUAUCUGAUGAUGAUCGAUUUAUGUAUAAAGCAGAGGUGAAGAGUAUUACUGAAAUUUCUGCCCUUACAUCAACUGAGGUAUAUUGUAGAUUUAUUCUCUCCAUUCAUUAUUGCAGGAUGGUACUAAGGUAUAUUUUUUCUGUUUUUUUAUAGGAAAUAACAUGUGUAA
This 393-nucleotide long non-coding RNA is filed under the name Lupinus angustifolius (narrow-leaved blue lupine). RNAcentral describes it as "long non-coding RNA (LANG_LNC002082)". The record is from RNAcentral. Lineage: Eukaryota; Viridiplantae; Streptophyta; Magnoliopsida; Fabales; Fabaceae.